This 828-nucleotide ribosomal RNA is filed under the name Parancyrocephaloides daicoci. RNAcentral's name for it is "LSU rRNA". It matches the Rfam family "Eukaryotic large subunit ribosomal RNA", at positions 42 to 650 of the family's 3401-position model. The record is from RNAcentral. Lineage: Eukaryota; Metazoa; Platyhelminthes; Monogenea; Dactylogyridea; Ancyrocephalidae.
AUCAGUAAGCGGAGGAAAAGAAACUAACCAGGAUUCUCCUAGUAACUGCGAGUGAACGGAGAUUAGCCCAUCACCGAAGUCUAUUCACAUUUGUGGACAGGACAAUGUGGUGUUUUGGCGCGCGCCUGGGAUCGCAGACCUGUUCCAAGUCCAACUCCGAUUGCGGCAUUGGAUAGUGUCCAAAGCGGGUGAAAGACCCGUUCGAACAGGCGGUGCUCUGUGCGAUCUCUUGAUGCGUGUGCUAUCGAGUCGGAUUGCUUGAGAAUGCAGUCCAAAGUGGGUGGUAAACUCCAUCCAAGGCUAAAUACUGGCAUGAGUCCGAUAGUAGACAAGUACCGUGAGGGAAAGUUGAAAAGUACUCUGAAGAGAGAGUAAAUAGUACGUGAAACCGUUUGCAGAGAAUCGGGUGGAGUCAAGCUUCAUGCCGGGUGGAUUGUCCUUCGAUCACUAUUGUGUUUGGACGUGGGGUUUGGCAACUUGGAAAAAGUUGGGCGCACUCGCUGCGUUACAAGUCGUUCCGGGAAGCUCGAUUGUGCAUACCCCUAUCUCCAUGAUCGAAUGGUAUAUCUUCCUUCGCAUAGAUCACGGCUCAUGGCGUGUGUGCAUUGUGACUGCUUAACAGUGUCUGUGUCAGCAUUCGUUGGCUGGGCGCUGAAUGGAAGGUGGUGGCCAGGCUCUUCACGAGCCUAUGGUUAUUUAUUGUGGUCUCGACCGUUUGGCAGUCAUGACAGUGCAUCUUCGCUAUGGUUUGAAUCGUUUGCAGUGUGCAAUCCGCGUGAUUGUGCGCUUAUCAAACCGUGAUUCUGAGGUAGACGUUCCACCUGACCC